ACGUCCCACGCCCCAUAUUCCUCACCCGUUCGCUCCUGAUCCUCUCUCCCGAAAAUAAUUCGCCACCGCCUAUGCUCGCCGCCUUGCCCCCAAGCAUCACCUUGCCGGCCUAGAUCUCGACCCGGCGCCGCUCCCCACCAAGUAGAAGCACCCAGAGGCCAUCCGCCCCGACCGCCAACAUAUGCCACGACCCGACGUCGCCCAAUCGGAGUGCCGUCGCACCAGCUCGCCAUAGCACCAAGCGCAUCCCCUACCGCAGAUUUCGGGGCUAGCCGCCACCCCUGCCAAUCGCGUAUGGGCAGGUGCGGGCUGACGCCCCCCUCCCGGCCUCGACCUUCCCCGUGCCCUUGCUUCCAGUCCCCAAAUCCAGGAGAGACAGCGGGGGCACGGCCCAAGAUCGGCGACAGGGCACGAGCGGACGUUGGAGAGACGAGAUCGACAGGUUACCACCAGAAGCUGCCCACGCCAGGAAGAAACUGCAAGAAGUGCACUUGCUGCUGUUGCGUUGGACUAGCUGGUGUUGCAUUGGAAGGAAGACGAAUGUGAGCAGGAAGAUGAGGUAGACAUUCUACGUGAUGGUAGCGAAUCAGAAGCUCGCUGUACCCGGCAAGAACAGCUUCAACAUCUCACAUCAUCAAGUAGGUGUGACUAUCCUCUGUACAGAACUUGCCAAAAAGUCAUUAUAUGUACUUUUGUCAUAGUGCAAAACUAAAUGACAUGCAAGAACGACUGUUUGUUAGAAUAGUUACUAUUGUACUCCCUCCGUUUCUAAAUAUAAGUCGUUUUAGAGAUUUCGAUAUGGGCUACAUCUCUACUAUUAUAGGGGAAUCGAACGUCGUGAUGGUUCGACCACCUCGUUCGAUCCCCCGCCUCGUACAACAGCCAUCGCUCGAUGUCCCACACGCCCGCACAAUAUCCAGCCCGCAAGCCCACGUACCAUCGAUACUGCCUUCCUCCCGCGCAUAAAAAAGCAACCCACCCCGUGUUGGACGUGGCCCAGAAACCAGCCCACACUUCCUCCCAUCCCCGACCGAACACAGAGAGGAAAAAACUGUCGCUAACACGCACUCGCGUCUCCGCCUCCCCCCAACUCCCAACUCCCAACUCGCUCCCGACCCCGACCCCAUCUCUCUCCAGGAAAAGUCGCCGCCAGUGGCGGCUGUGUUCGUCGCCCCGCCACCGAUCCAUCCGCUGCCGCGCGCCUUCUGGAUCAAGGUGAGGGAUGCCUCCCGUCCCGUGCGCCCGCCUUGGAAGAGAGAUGGGGGAGAGAAAGGGAGAGAUAAGAGAGAGGGAGGAGCGGACAGCGGCGGCGCUGGCCUAAUCGCCGACAUAGGAAGAUGAGGUCAUGGUUCCAAAGCGUGGCGGGUUGGCGCUGCUGAUUCAUAGCUGUCGACUUCCUUGUUUGCUUUUGGCUGCGGGCGCAGCACCUUGCCUUCAUGUCACCAAGAAGGUCUGCAGUCCAUCAUCAUCCGACGUAAACUUUAGGGCGGCCACCAGAAAGAUCCUGAUAUGCCGCCAUUAUGCAGGAGCUCUCGGUUAUGGUGAGAUAGAAACUCCAGAAUACGUACACUUAUAGCUAUACUGUGUCUCUUUUUUUCUUCCAGGCUUCAUAUUCAUUGGUUGAUAUGAUUUCUUAGGUUAGGAUAAAUGUUUUUGGAUAAUCCUGGACUGAAAGCUUGUGCAGAAGGAAAAAUCUGCUUCCCAAUCAGGCAGUUCAUCAACAACAAUGCCAAGAUUAAAUUCAACUUGAAAGAAUUACGGUGGCUGUUAGUUUGCUCGAAGGAACUCUGAAGCAUGUGGUUGAUGUAAAUCUACAUUCUGAGAAAGAAUUUGCAUAUUCAGGAGAAGGACUGCAAACAUAGUGCUUGCUUUGUUAAGAUUUUUAUGUUCUCAAGGAUGUUAAAGGGUCCCUCCUGAGAACCAAGAGGACAAGCUUGAACUCAAGCUGCCUAUUCACACAGAAGUGCUUGAACGCAAGAUGCUCCUCCCGAGUCAUUUGACAGAUAUAGAAAUAAGAUUUUAUGAGAAGUAACCUGAAGGGCUGUCGAGCUUCACGGCGCUGAGGGCAGGAGCUGUACCUGGCGGGGAACAAGAUGAGCGACGUGGAGGGGCUGCUCAAGCUGGCGGUGCUGGACCUGAGCGAGCUUCAACAGGGUCACCACCACCAAGGGGCUGGGCCCAACUACAGCUCGCUCCGGGCGCUCAACCUGCUGGGCAACCCCGUGCAGAGCAACGUCGGCGACGACUCGCUCCGCAAGGCCGUCUCGGGCCUCCUGCCGGUGCUCGCCUACCUCAACAAGCAGGCCCUCAAGCCCCAGCGUCGCCAAGACCGCCCUCGGGAACAGCCACGGUGCGCCGGCUCGGCCACAGCCCGGGCUCGUCGUCGGCCAAGAGGGAGGGAAGGGAGCAGCAGGAGCAGGUCCCAGAACGGGGUUUCAGGCAAGGAGGUGAGACGAUCGAGCAAGGAGUAACUUCAGAUGCUACAGAUGGCCUUGUCAGUCACGGUGAUCACCGUGGACUCGGAGGGCGUUGAGUUGAGACUCGAGGAGGUGAAACGGUGUGUGCUGCUGGAAAUAACUGCUGCAAACGUUGUGAGACCCGAAAGUUGUACUUGGAAAACAAGUCUAGUAGUAGUAGUAUUUCAAGCCUUUCCCGAUGAGCCCAAAAUGAUUCAGGAAAGAAGAAAUGACAUGCGGAUGGAUGCAGUCAGGAUUCAUCUAAGUUGCGAGGUCCAC
Molecule: RNA transcript, 2735 nt
Organism: Aegilops tauschii subsp. strangulata
Lineage: Eukaryota; Viridiplantae; Streptophyta; Magnoliopsida; Poales; Poaceae
Source: RefSeq, a predicted model, not a curated record